Molecule: ribosomal RNA, 629 nt
Filed under: uncultured fungus
Lineage: Eukaryota; Fungi
Description: eukaryotic LSU rRNA
Rfam family: 5.8S ribosomal RNA (bases 251-404)
Source: RNAcentral
CUUGGUCAUUUAGAGGAAGUAAAAGUCGUAACAAGGUUUCCGUAGGUGAACCUGCGGAAGGAUCAUUAAAGAGUAAGGGUCUCUGGCCCGAACCUCCAACCCUCUGUUGUUAUAACCACUUCGUUGCUUUGGCGGGACCGCGAAGGUUCUCCCGAGCGCGCCAGUCUCCGGACAGGCGAGCGCCCGCCAGAGUCUAACCAAACUCUUGUUUUAAACCAGUCGUCUGAGUAUAAAAUUUUAAUUAAAUUAAAACUUUCAACAACGGAUCUCUUGGUUCUCGCAUCGAUGAAGAACGCAGCGAAAUGCGAUAAGUAAUGUGAAUUGCAGAAUUCAGUGAAUCAUCGAAUCUUUGAACGCACAUUGCGCCCCUUGGUAUUCCGAGGGGCAUGCCUGUUCGAGCGUCAUUACACCACUCAAGCACCGCUUGGUAUUGGGCAUCGUCCGACGAAAGGCGGGCGUGCCUCGAAGACCUCGGCGGGGUUUCUCCAACUUCGGGCGUAGUAGAGUUAGAUCAAAACGUCUUAUAAGCUUGGUGAGAUCUCAUUGCCGUUAAACCUUUUAUUUUUUCAGGUUGACCUCGGAUCAGGUAGGGAUACCCGCUGAACUUAAGCAUAUCAAUAAGCGGAGGA